GGAAGUAAAAGUCGUAACAAGGUUUCCGUAGGUGAACCUGCGGAAGGAUCAUUAACGAGUUUUUGAAACGGGUUGUUGCUGGCUUCAAAACAGGAGCAAGUGCACGCCUGACUCAAUCCACUCUCAAACCCCUGUGCACUUAUUGUAGGCUUUGGUGAUUGAAGAGCUCGCAAGAGCUUGGAUAGAGCCUGGUCUAUGCUUUUACAAACGCUUCAGUUUAAGAAUGUAACUCGCGUAUAACGCAAUAAAUACAACUUUCAGCAACGGAUCUCUUGGCUCUCGCAUCGAUGAAGAACGCAGCGAAAUGCGAUAAGUAAUGUGAAUUGCAGAAUUCAGUGAAUCAUCGAAUCUUUGAACGCACCUUGCGCUCCUUGGUAUUCCGAGGAGCAUGCCUGUUUGAGUGUCAUGGUAUUCUCAACUCUCCAAAGCUUUUGCAAUGAAGAGUUGGAUUUGGAGGCUUGUGUCGGCUUGCAAAAGUUGACUCCUCUGAAAUGUAUUAGUGUGAGCCUCUACGGAUCGCCUCCAGUGUGAUAAUGUCUACGCUGUGGUGUGAAGUAUUUCUAGGGUUCAUGCUUCUAAUCGUCCCUUUGGGACAAUUACUUGACAAUCUGACCUCAAAUCAGGUAGGACUACCCGCUGAACUUAAGCAUAUCAAUAAGCGGAGGAAAG
RNAcentral lists this ribosomal RNA (669 nucleotides) under uncultured Phanerochaete. RNAcentral's name for it is "eukaryotic LSU rRNA". The stretch from base 253 to 406 matches the Rfam family "5.8S ribosomal RNA". The record is from RNAcentral. Lineage: Eukaryota; Fungi; Basidiomycota; Agaricomycetes; Corticiales; Corticiaceae.